UGUGUAGGCGGCCGCGCAAGUCUGGUGUGAAAUCUUCACCGCUUAACGGGAAGAGGUCACUGGAAACUGCGUGGCUCGAGUAUGGUAGAGGCAAGCGGAAUUCCUGGUGUAGCGGUGGAAUGUGUAGAUAUCAGGAAGAACACCGGUGGCGAAGGCGGCUUGCUGGGCCAUCACUGACGCUGAGACACGAAAGCGUGGGGAGCAAACGGGAUUAGAUACCCCCGGUAGUCCACGCUGUAAACGGUGCGCACUAGGUGUGAGGGGUAUCGACCCCCCUUGUGCCGAAGCAAACGCAUUAAGUGCGCCGCCUGGGGAGUACGGCCGCAAGGUUGAA
RNAcentral lists this ribosomal RNA (334 nucleotides) under uncultured bacterium. Its description in RNAcentral is "bacterial SSU rRNA". It matches the Rfam family "Bacterial small subunit ribosomal RNA", at positions 568 to 898 of the family's 1533-position model. The record is from RNAcentral.